RNAcentral lists this ribosomal RNA (460 nucleotides) under uncultured bacterium. Its description in RNAcentral is "partial 16S ribosomal RNA". It matches the Rfam family "Bacterial small subunit ribosomal RNA", at positions 338 to 795 of the family's 1533-position model. The record is from RNAcentral.
CCUACGGGAGGCAGCAGUGAGGAAUAUUGGUCAAUGGACGCAAGUCUGAACCAGCCAAGCCGCGUGCAGGAAGACGGCUCUAUGAGUUGUAAACUGCUUUUGUACGAGGGUAAACGCAGAUACGCGUAUCUGUCUGAAAGUAUCGUACGAAUAAGGAUCGGCUAACUCCGUGCCAGCAGCCGCGGUAAUACGGAGGAUUCAAGCGUUAUCCGGAUUUAUUGGGUUUAAAGGGUGCGUAGGCGGUCGGAUAAGUUAGAGGUGAAAUCCCGAGGCUCAACUCCGGAAUUGCCUCUGAAACUGGUCGGCUAGAGUGUAGUUGAGGUAGGCGGAAUGUGUGGUGUAGCGGUGAAAUGCUUAGAGAUCAUACAGAACUCCGAUUGCGAAGGCAGCUUACCAAGCUCCUUCUGACGUUGAGGCACGAAAGCGUGGGUAGCAAACAGGAUUAGAUACCCCAGUAGUC